CGAGCCGGCCGGGCGGCCGCGGGUCCGGUUCCGCCGGGCCUGAGGAAAGUCCGGACUCCGCAGAGCGAGGUGGUGGGUAACGCCCACCUGGGGAAACCCACGGGAAAGUGCCACAGAGAGCAGACCGCCCCUAUUUUGGGGUAAGGGUGAAAGGGUGGUGUAAGAGACCACCAGCGCCUUGGGCGACCAGGGCGGCUCGGCAAACCCCACCUGGAGCAAGGCCAAGAAGGUCCGCCUCGGCGGGCCGCGUCGGCGUUCGAGGGCUGCUCGCCCGAGCCGACGGGUAGGCCGCACGCCGCGAGGCGAAGGCCCGUGGCAACACGGGUCGCAGAUGGAUGGCCGCCCGCCCCACCGGGGCGACAGAAUCCGGCUUAUAGGCCGGCUCGUCCG
This 390-nucleotide RNase P RNA is filed under the name Propionibacteriaceae bacterium. RNAcentral describes it as "RNase P RNA component class A". It matches the Rfam family "Bacterial RNase P class A". From Rfam's summary of the family: Ribonuclease P (RNase P) is a ubiquitous endoribonuclease, found in archaea, bacteria and eukarya as well as chloroplasts and mitochondria. Its best characterised activity is the generation of mature 5'-ends of tRNAs by cleaving the 5'-leader elements of precursor-tRNAs. Lineage: Bacteria; Bacillati; Actinomycetota; Actinomycetes; Propionibacteriales; Propionibacteriaceae. The record is from RNAcentral.